CCCCCUUAGUCUUCUCUGUAAAUAAAGGAAGUUCACUGUUGCGGCUAUAGAUCCCCUCAGCGCUGCAGGUAUCAAGAUGUGCAGUUCGCCUCGCGAUGACGCGGGCGAGGCGUAAAAUUUAACAAAUUGACGACGGUCCGCCCUACAAGCGGUGUAAGUGCUGUGAUUCUUUGCUACACCAAGAACCUUACUUGGGCUGUUCAUGUUGGCAGUAGUGAAGCGAAAACGUAGUGUCGCUUCGAGGAGCCUACACAAGUGCACCUUGGUCGUCCUCACAUUCUUCCACGAGGGGUUGGGUUUAGUCCCGUAAACGAGGCAACCCUUGCCCUUUUUUUACCAAUGUUUAAGGGGACUUCCCGGGGCAACUUGGAGGAAAGGUGGGGAGAGUUUCAGUUAACAUGGCCUUUAUCACCAGGGCUACACACCCGGUACAAAGGGCGGUACAAUGGGUUGACAAGCUGUGAGGGGGGACCAAUCCCCCAAAGCCGGUCUAAGUUCGGAUUGCGGUCUGCAACUAGCCCAUAUGAAGCUGGAGUUGGUAGUAACCGCGCGUCAGCUAUAGUGCGGUGAAUACGUUCCCGGGCUUUGUACACCCCGCCUGUCACGUCAUGGAAGCUGGCAACACCUGAAGCCAGUGAGCUAACCCGCAAGGGAGGCACCUGUCGAAGCUGGGGCUGGUGACUGGGACGAAGUCCUA
This 697-nucleotide ribosomal RNA is filed under the name uncultured organism. RNAcentral's name for it is "bacterial SSU rRNA". It matches the Rfam family "Bacterial small subunit ribosomal RNA", at positions 785 to 1490 of the family's 1533-position model. The record is from RNAcentral.